GGUGGCACUGGUUGAGCCUAAGGCAACGCCGGUUUUCAAUACCGAUCCCAAUCCUCUGGACAAGGAUGCCCUGGCGCAAGCCCAGGUGUUGCUG
RNAcentral lists this transfer RNA (94 nucleotides) under Oceanisphaera marina. Its description in RNAcentral is "tRNA-Sec". The record is from RNAcentral. Lineage: Bacteria; Pseudomonadati; Pseudomonadota; Gammaproteobacteria; Aeromonadales; Aeromonadaceae.